CCCCUUCCGUAGGUGCACCUGCGGAAGGAUCAUUAGUGAAAUAGAAAAUUUAAUUUUCUAGUCAACUAUUCCUCCCUUUUGUCAACUAUACCAUUGUUGCUUCCACUGGACAGAGUUCGGUCCUCUGCCUCACCGCAAGGUGAAGCUGGGGAGUGCUGGUGGAAAGAAUUUAAACUUGUCUUUAGAAAAACUUGUCUGACAAACUUAUUUUUUAAUAAAAUAAAACUUUCAACAACGGAUCUCUAGGCUCUUGCAUCGAUGAAGAUCGCAGUGAAAUGCGAUAAGUAAUGUGAAUUGCAGAAUUUCGUGAAUCAUUGAAUCUUUGAACGCACAUUGCGCCCUAUGGUAUUCCGUAGGGCAUGCCCGUCUGAGCGUCAGCUGGUCUUCUCAAGCUCUUUUGCUUGGAUAACAUUGGAGAAGCAAUACACGGUCCAUUUGGACUCUGUGUGCUCUCCAGAAAUUCAUAGGCGGUACGGUUCUAGCAAACCAGACGUAAUAAUUCUUUAUCUCGUCCUUUGUUUUGGAGCUGGGCUUGCCUCUUAAUCCCACAUCUUUCAAGAGACCUCAGAUCAGGUAGGAACCCCAGU
RNAcentral lists this ribosomal RNA (587 nucleotides) under Arcyria nigella. RNAcentral's name for it is "eukaryotic LSU rRNA". The stretch from base 224 to 377 matches the Rfam family "5.8S ribosomal RNA". The record is from RNAcentral. Lineage: Eukaryota; Evosea; Eumycetozoa; Trichiida; Trichiidae.